UACGGGAGGCAGCAGUGGGGAAUUUUGGACAAUGGGGGAAACCCUGAUCCAGCCAUGCCGCGUGAGUGAAGAAGGCCUUCGGGUUGUAAAGCUCUUUCAGCCGGAACGAAACGGUCACGGUUAAUACCCGUGACUACUGACGGUACCGGAAGAAGAAGCACCGGCUAACUACGUGCCAGCAGCCGCGGUAAUACGUAGGGUGCGAGCGUUAAUCGGAAUUACUGGGCGUAAAGCGUGCGCAGGCGGUUUUGUAAGUCAGAUGUGAAAUCCCCGGGCUUAACCUGGGAACUGCGUUUGAAACUACAAGGCUAGAGUGUGGCAGAGGGGGGUGGAAUUCCACGUGUAGCAGUGAAAUGCGUAGAGAUGUGGAGGAACACCGAUGGCGAAGGCAGCCCCCUGGGUUAACACUGACGCUCAGGCACGAAAGCGUGGGGAGCAAACAGGAUUAGAUACCCUGGUAGUCCACGCCCUAAACGAUGUCAACUAGUUGUCGGGUCUUAACGGACUUGGUAACGCAGCUAACGCGUGAAGUGACCGCCU
RNAcentral lists this ribosomal RNA (540 nucleotides) under uncultured Nitrospirota bacterium. RNAcentral's name for it is "bacterial SSU rRNA". It matches the Rfam family "Bacterial small subunit ribosomal RNA", at positions 340 to 874 of the family's 1533-position model. Lineage: Bacteria; Pseudomonadati; Nitrospirota. The record is from RNAcentral.